This 253-nucleotide ribosomal RNA is filed under the name uncultured bacterium. RNAcentral describes it as "partial 16S ribosomal RNA". It matches the Rfam family "Bacterial small subunit ribosomal RNA", at positions 524 to 776 of the family's 1533-position model. The record is from RNAcentral.
UACGUAUGGUGCAAGCGUUAUCCGGAUUUACUGGGUGUAAAGGGAGCGCAGGCGGUCCUGCAAGUCUGGUGUGAAAGCCCGGGGCUCAACCCCGGGACUGCACUGGAAACUGCAGGACUGGAGUGUCGGAGGGGUAAGCGGAAUUCCUGGUGUAGCGGUGAAAUGCGUAGAUAUCAGGAGGAACACCGGUGGCGAAGGCGGCUUACUGGACGAUGACUGACGCUGAGGCUCGAAAGCGUGGGGAGCAAACAGG